This 213-nucleotide unclassified non-coding RNA is filed under the name plant metagenome. Its description in RNAcentral is "partial contains small subunit ribosomal RNA, internal transcribed spacer 1, and 5.8S ribosomal RNA". The record is from RNAcentral.
UUUCCGUAGGUGAACCUGCGGAAGGAUCAUUCAUAAUCAGUGUUUUCUGGCACUUUUUCAAAUCCAUAUCCACCUUGUGUGCAAUGUCAGUGUUGAUUUUUCUCUCGAGAGGAUCACCCCCAAACAUAAACUUUAUCUCAACUCUUUGUCUGAGAAAUAUUAUGAAUAAAACAAUUCAAAAUACAACUUUCAACAACGGAUCUCUUGGCUCUC